RNAcentral lists this ribosomal RNA (497 nucleotides) under uncultured bacterium. RNAcentral describes it as "partial 16S ribosomal RNA". It matches the Rfam family "Bacterial small subunit ribosomal RNA", at positions 28 to 507 of the family's 1533-position model. The record is from RNAcentral.
GAUGAACGCUGGCGGCGUGCCUAAUACAUGCAAGUCGAGCGAACGGACGAGAAGCUUGCUUUUCUGAUGUUAGCGGCGGACGGGUGAGUAACACGUGGAUAACCUACCUAUAAGACUGGGAUAACUUCGGGAAACCGGAGCUAAUACCGGAUAAUAUUUUGAACCGCAUGGUUCAAAAGUGAAAGACGGUCUUGCUGUCACUUAUAGAUGGAUCCGCGCUGCAUUAGCUAGUUGGUAAGGUAACGGCUUACCAAGGCAACGAUGCAUAGCCGACCUGAGAGGGUGAUCGGCCACACUGGAACUGAGACACGGUCCAGACUCCUACGGGGGGCAGCAGUAGGGAAUCUUCCGCAAUGGGCGAAAGCCUGACGGGGGAACGCCGCGUGAGUGAUGAAGGUCUUCGGAUCGUAAAACUCUGUUAUUAGGGAAGAACAUAUGUGUAAGUAACUGUGCACAUCUUGACGGUACCUAAUCAGAAAGCCACGGCUAACUUCGUG